UGGUUGUUUGUUUAUUUGACAUAAGUACUUUUUUUGUAAGUUUCUUUUAGGGGACUCGGGGCGUUCUCGGGUGGUGGUUGCGGGUAACACUUGGCAUAGAACAUUUAGUACAUGAUCAUGUUGGCGAGCCUUUAGGUAGCCAUGUUUCUGCCUUUGCUACCUUCGUUAUGUUUAUUAUAUAAGAAUGAUUCUAUCUAUCUAUAUAUACGCACACAUGUAUAUCCCUUUUUGACUAUAGUUAGUAGAAAAAAAUGGCAGCUAACUCAGCUACCAAAUGAGUUUAUCUAUUCUGCACCUCAUACGAUUGGAGUUGCAGUGAGAUAUGCAAAUCCGUAGAACGAAUUAAAGUUCAUAACAAAUGUGGUGAAAAUUAUGCUGCACUUUGGAACCGACACACAUUAAUAUGUACAAAAGAAAAGACAAGUGAAGAAUACACGACAAUCAUGGAGAUGACCACAGUUAGAGAGAAAAGCAAGUGUGAAGUUUGAAUAUAUAUAUGCUCCUCGACCAAUCGAAAUUGCUAAAGCUAUUGGUAUGGAUGAUGCUGAAGCUAUAAUUUAAGUUGGUAUCAAAUGUAUUUUUUUUUUAUUUGUAAUUGUUUGUCACCUCUAUGUUUACAUGUUCAUUCAGGUCACCUUUAUAUCGCCACAUUUUAAGAACCUAUUUUUUUGUUCACUCUGGUUGUUUGCUUAUGGGGUAAAUGUGCACAUAAAAGUUUUGAGGUUCUAUGCAUAUGGGGUAAAUGUGCACAUAAAAGUUUUGAUGGGUAUUGACUUUCAACGUGUACCGUUUCGACGGGAACCGUUCGUCGAAGCGGUUCAACCCGUACCGCUUCUACACGUACCGUUUCUACCUGUACCGUUUCGACCAAUACCGUUUCGAAUCGAACUGUUUCGACACGAACCGUUUCUAACCGUACCGUUUCAUAAGUGCAUUAUUGGAAUUCAUGAAGUUCCGAAAGAUUCGGCUUUAGGCAGAUUGAAAGGAAGCGACAAUGCGAUAAUUAAGUUCUUACAUUGUUACAAUUCCGUGUAAACUUUUAGUGACCUUUUUUAUAGCGACUGUAUCAAUUAGUCGACGAAAAUGUAACUGCAGGUGGAGAUAUGCAGUCGGUGUUAUGAGCACCCGAACCUGUUGGUGAUUCAAGGUGCAGGAGCAGGCAAUGAUACUACAUCAUUGAUCUUCAGGAUCAGUUUCCAUUUACAAAUACUGGGAAAUGAUUUGAUAACCGGUGAAGAAGCCAUUGAAACUGCUAAGCUUCUUGCACUGAAAGAAGGCUUGCUGUUGGGGAUAUCAUCCGGGGUAGCUGCUGCUACCUUAAUUAAAAUCGCAAAAUGACCAGAAUACGAAGGAAAACUCAUUGUUGUUGUUUUUCCAAGCUUCGGGGAGCGUUAUUUGUCAACGGUGCUAUUUGAUUCUGUGAUGAAUGAAGUACAAAACUUACCAGUCGAGUGAGUCAUUGAUCACAAGGCGGAGUUGUAAGACCGCGUGUUAUUUGGCUGUGAAAGAACAUCUUUCUUUUUAUUUUAAAGAAAUUAUACUUACUUGAUUAUCAACUGAACCAAUUGUUGUUGAACUGUUUUAAAGUAUUUGAUUAUUGGCCAAGAAAUGGUUUCUAACUAAAACGUAUGAACAAAUACAAGGCCA
Long non-coding RNA from Helianthus annuus (common sunflower), 1647 nucleotides. RefSeq lists it as uncharacterized. The transcript is spliced from 5 exons. The record is from RefSeq and is a predicted model, not a curated record. NCBI's taxonomy places the organism in Eukaryota, Viridiplantae, Streptophyta, Magnoliopsida, Asterales, Asteraceae.